Molecule: transfer RNA, 88 nt
Filed under: Bacteroidota bacterium
Lineage: Bacteria; Pseudomonadati; Bacteroidota
Description: tRNA-Ser
Rfam family: tRNA
About the family: Transfer RNA (tRNA) molecules are approximately 80 nucleotides in length. Their secondary structure includes four short double-helical elements and three loops (D, anti-codon, and T loops).
Source: RNAcentral
GGAGAGUUGACUGAGAGGUAAAGCACUGGCUUGCUAAGUCAGGGUUGGAUUAACACACGGCUAAGUUCGAUUCUUACACUCUCCGCCA